This 449-nucleotide ribosomal RNA is filed under the name uncultured bacterium. RNAcentral describes it as "partial 16S ribosomal RNA". It matches the Rfam family "Bacterial small subunit ribosomal RNA", at positions 338 to 795 of the family's 1533-position model. The record is from RNAcentral.
CCUACGGGCGGCAGCAGUGGGGAAUUUUGGACAAUGGGCGAAAGCCUGAUCCAGCAAUGCCGCGUGAGUGAAGAAGGCCUUCGGGUUGUAAAGCUCUUUUGUUUGGGAAGAAAUCCCUAAGGAUAAUACCCUUGGGGGAUGACGGUACCAAAAGAAUAAGCACCGGCUAACUACGUGCCAGCAGCCGCGGUAAUACGUAGGGUGCAAGCGUUAAUAGGAAUUACGGGGGGGGUAUCGUGCGCCAGCGGUUAAAUCCCCGAGCUCAACUUGGGAACUGCACUGGUGACUGCAAGACUAGAGUGUGUCAGAGGGAGGUAGAAUUCCACGUGUAGCAGUGAAAUGCGUAGAUAUGUGGAGGAAUACCAGUGGCGAAGGCGGCCUCCUGGGAUAACACUGACGCUCAUGUACGAAAGCGUGGGGAGCAAACAGGAUUAGAUACCCUAGUAGUC